This 374-nucleotide ribosomal RNA is filed under the name uncultured Microsporidia. RNAcentral's name for it is "SSU rRNA". It matches the Rfam family "Microsporidia small subunit ribosomal RNA", at positions 24 to 405 of the family's 1311-position model. Lineage: Eukaryota; Fungi; Microsporidia. The record is from RNAcentral.
AUGGAUGCUCGUCUCGGGGACUAAGCCAUGCAUGCCCGCGACGCAAGGAGCGGCGAACGGCUCAGCAGUGCUGCGGUGAUCUGCCCCGCGCGCGCAGUAACCGCGGGAAACUGCGGCUAAGAGCGCGGGUUGAGGCGCAGCCCCAUCAGCUAGUUGGUGGUGUAAUGGACCACCAAGGCGGCGACGGGUGCGGGGGAUCGGGGUCCGACUCCGGAGAGGGAGCCUGAGAGAUGGCUCCCACGUCCAAGGACGGCAGCAGGCGCGGAAAUUGCCCACUCUCGCGCGAGGAGGCAGUUACGAGGCGUGGCGAAGGACGCACGGCAAAGGUGUGUGUGAAGGCGAUUGGAGGGCAAGUUCGGUGCCAGCAGCCGGGG